UGCGUAUUGUUAUGCGUUUACUUUACUACAUUGGUUAGAGGUAUAGGGGGAGGGUUGAGAUCUCACAAACAUGCUUAACCCCGCCGCAUUUUUGCGCCUGUCCCAAGUCAGGAGCCUCUGGCCUUUGUUAGUCUUGUAUUAUUUUAAUUUUAGUUUCUUGUGUACAAUUUGGAAAUUAGUAUGGCGUUCAUUAUCACUGGACUAGUAUAUAUUUGUUUAGGGGCCAGCUGAAUGACGCCUCCGGGUGCGGGAAUUUCUCGCUACAUUGAAGACCUGUUGGUGACCCUCUGCUGUUGUUUUUUAUUUGGGCGGGUUGUUGUCUCUUUGACACAUUCCCCAUUUCCAUUUUCAAUUUUA
RNAcentral lists this long non-coding RNA (357 nucleotides) under Mytilus galloprovincialis (Mediterranean mussel). The record is from RNAcentral. Lineage: Eukaryota; Metazoa; Mollusca; Bivalvia; Mytilida; Mytilidae.